CCUACGGGAGGCAGCAGUGGGGAAUAUUGCACAAUGGGCGAAAGCCUGAUGCAGCGACGCCGCGUGAGGGAUGACGGCCUUCGGGUUGUAAACCUCUUUCAGCAGGGAAGAAGCGAAAGUGACGGUACCUGCAGAAGAAGCGCCGGCUAACUACGUGCCAGCAGCCGCGGUAAUACGUAGGGCGCAAGCGUUGUCCGGAAUUAUUGGGCGUAAAGAGCUCGUAGGCGGCUUGUCACGUCGGAUGUGAAAGCCCGGGGCUUAACCCCGGGUCUGCAUUCGAUACGGGCUAGCUAGAGUGUGGUAGGGGAGAUCGGAAUUCCUGGUGUAGCGGUGAAAUGCGCAGAUAUCAGGAGGAACACCGGUGGCGAAGGCGGAUCUCUGGGCCAUUACUGACGCUGAGGAGCGAAAGCGUGGGGAGCGAACAGGAUUAGAUACCCUGGUAGUCCACGCCGUAAACGUUGGGAACUAGGUGUUGGCGACAUUCCACGUCGUCGGUGCCGCAGCUAACGCAUUAAGUUCCCCGCCUGGGGAGUACGGCCGCAAGGCUAAAACUCAAAUGAAUUGACGG
Molecule: ribosomal RNA, 568 nt
Filed under: uncultured bacterium
Lineage: Bacteria
Description: bacterial SSU rRNA
Rfam family: Bacterial small subunit ribosomal RNA
Source: RNAcentral